AUUGAACGCUGGCGGCAUGCCUUACACAUGCAAGUCGAACGGCAGCACGGGCGCAAUCCUGGUGGCGAGUGGCGAACGGGUGAGUAAUGCAUCGGAACGUACCCGGAAGUGGGGGAUAACGUAGCGAAAGUUACGCUAAUACCGCAUAUUCUGUGAGCAGGAAAGCGGGGGAUCUUCGGACCUCGUGCUUUCGGAGCGGCCGAUGUCGGAUUAGCUAGUUGGUGGGGUAAAGGCCUACCAAGGCGACGAUCCGUAGCAGGUCUGAGAGGAUGAUCUGCCACACUGGGACUGGGACACGGCCCAGACUCCUACGGGAGGCAGCAGUGGGGAAUUUUGGACAAUGGGCGAAAGCCUGAUCCAGCCAUUCCGCGUGCAGGAUGAAGGCCCUCGGGUUGUAAACUGCUUUUGUACAGAACGAAAAAGCUCUGGUUAAUACCUGGAGUCCAUGACGGUACUGUAAGAAUAAGCACCGGCUAACUACGUGCCAGCCGCCGCCGUAA
RNAcentral lists this ribosomal RNA (500 nucleotides) under uncultured bacterium. RNAcentral describes it as "partial 16S ribosomal RNA". It matches the Rfam family "Bacterial small subunit ribosomal RNA", at positions 30 to 523 of the family's 1533-position model. The record is from RNAcentral.